Non-coding RNA from Camelus ferus (Wild Bactrian camel), 73 nucleotides. The record is from Rfam. Lineage: Eukaryota; Metazoa; Chordata; Mammalia; Artiodactyla; Camelidae.
GAGGGUAUAGCUCAAGUGGUAGAGCGCUUGCUUAGCAUGCAUGGGGCCCUGGGCUCAAUCCCCAGUCCCUCCU